UACGUAGGGUGCAAGCGUUGUCCGGAAUUAUUGGGCGUAAAGAGCUCGUAGGCGGUCUGUUGCGUCGGCUGUGAAAACCCGAGGCUCAACCUCGGGCCUGCAGCCGAUACGGGCAGACUAGAGUUCGGCAGGGGAGACUGGAAUUCCUGGUGUAGCGGUGAAAUGCGCAGAUAUCAGGAGGAACACCGGUGGCGAAGGCGGAUCUCUGGGCCUUACCUGACGCUCAGGCGCGAAAGCUAGGGGAGCGAACAGG
Molecule: ribosomal RNA, 253 nt
Filed under: uncultured bacterium
Lineage: Bacteria
Description: partial 16S ribosomal RNA
Rfam family: Bacterial small subunit ribosomal RNA
Source: RNAcentral